GGUUAAGCGACUAAGCGUACACGGUGGAUGCCCUGGCAGUCAGAGGCGAUGAAGGACGUGCUAAUCUGCGAUAAGCGUCGGUAAGGUGAUAUGAACCGUUAUAACCGGCGAUUUCCGAAUGGGGAAACCCAGUGUGAUUCGUCACACUAUCAUUAACUGAAUCCAUAGGUUAAUGAGGCGAACCGGGGGAACUGAAACAUCUAAGUACCCCGAGGAAAAGAAAUCAACCGAGAUUCCCCCAGUAGCGGCGAGCGAACGGGGAGCAGCCCAGAGCCUGAAUCAGUGUGUGUGUUAGUGGAAGCGUCUGGAAAGGCGCGCGAUACAGGGUGACAGCCCCGUACACAAAAAUGCACAUGCUGUGAGCUCGAUGAGUAGGGCGGGACACGUGGUAUCCUGUCUGAAUAUGGGGGGACCAUCCUCCAAGGCUAAAUACUCCUGACUGACCGAUAGUGAACCAGUACCGUGAGGGAAAGGCGAAAAGAACCCCGGCGAGGGGAGUGAAAAAGAACCUGAAACCGUGUACGUACAAGCAGUGGGAGCACGCUUAGGCGUGUGACUGCGUACCUUUUGUAUAAUGGGUCAGCGACUUAUAUUCUGUAGCAAGGUUAACCGAAUAGGGGAGCCGAAGGGAAACCGAGUCUUAACUGGGCGUUAAGUUGCAGGGUAUAGACCCGAAACCCGGUGAUCUAGCCAUGGGCAGGUUGAAGGUUGGGUAACACUAACUGGAGGACCGAACCGACUAAUGUUGAAAAAUUAGCGGAUGACUUGUGGCUGGGGGUGAAAGGCCAAUCAAACCGGGAGAUAGCUGGUUCUCCCCGAAAGCUAUUUAGGUAGCGCCUCGUGAAUUCAUCUCCGGGGGUAGAGCACUGUUUCGGCAAGGGGGUCAUCCCGACUUACCAACCCGAUGCAAACUGCGAAUACCGGAGAAUGUUAUCACGGGAGACACACGGCGGGUGCUAACGUCCGUCGUGAAGAGGGAAACAACCCAGACCGCCAGCUAAGGUCCCAAAGUCAUGGUUAAGUGGGAAACGAUGUGGGAAGGCCCAGACAGCCAGGAUGUUGGCUUAGAAGCAGCCAUCAUUUAAAGAAAGCGUAAUAGCUCACUGGUCGAGUCGGCCUGCGCGGAAGAUGUAACGGGGCUAAACCAUGCACCGAAGCUGCGGCAGCGACACUAUGUGUUGUUGGGUAGGGGAGCGUUCUGUAAGCCUGUGAAGGUGUACUGUGAGGUAUGCUGGAGGUAUCAGAAGUGCGAAUGCUGACAUAAGUAACGAUAAAGCGGGUGAAAAGCCCGCUCGCCGGAAGACCAAGGGUUCCUGUCCAACGUUAAUCGGGGCAGGGUGAGUCGACCCCUAAGGCGAGGCCGAAAGGCGUAGUCGAUGGGAAACAGGUUAAUAUUCCUGUACUUGGUGUUACUGCGAAGGGGGGACGGAGAAGGCUAUGUUGGCCGGGCGACGGUUGUCCCGGUUUAAGCGUGUAGGCUGGUUUUCCAGGCAAAUCCGGAAAAUCAAGGCUGAGGCGUGAUGACGAGGCACUACGGUGCUGAAGCAACAAAUGCCCUGCUUCCAGGAAAAGCCUCUAAGCAUCAGGUAACAUCAAAUCGUACCCCAAACCGACACAGGUGGUCAGGUAGAGAAUACCAAGGCGCUUGAGAGAACUCGGGUGAAGGAACUAGGCAAAAUGGUGCCGUAACUUCGGGAGAAGGCACGCUGAUAUGUAGGUGAAGCGACUUGCUCGUGGAGCUGAAAUCAGUCGAAGAUACCAGCUGGCUGCAACUGUUUAUUAAAAACACAGCACUGUGCAAACACGAAAGUGGACGUAUACGGUGUGACGCCUGCCCGGUGCCGGAAGGUUAAUUGAUGGGGUCAGCGCAAGCGAAGCUCUUGAUCGAAGCCCCGGUAAACGGCGGCCGUAACUAUAACGGUCCUAAGGUAGCGAAAUUCCUUGUCGGGUAAGUUCCGACCUGCACGAAUGGCGUAAUGAUGGCCAGGCUGUCUCCACCCGAGACUCAGUGAAAUUGAACUCGCUGUGAAGAUGCAGUGUACCCGCGGCAAGACGGAAAGACCCCGUGAACCUUUACUAUAGCUUGACACUGAACAUUGAGCCUUGAUGUGUAGGAUAGGUGGGAGGCUUUGAAGUGUGGACGCCAGUCUGCAUGGAGCCGACCUUGAAAUACCACCCUUUAAUGUUUGAUGUUCUAACGUUGACCCGUGAUCCGGGUUGCGGACAGUGUCUGGUGGGUAGUUUGACUGGGGCGGUCUCCUCCUAAAGAGUAACGGAGGAGCACGAAGGUUGGCUAAUCCUGGUCGGACAUCAGGAGGUUAGUGCAAUGGCAUAAGCCAGCUUGACUGCGAGCGUGACGGCGCGAGCAGGUGCGAAAGCAGGUCAUAGUGAUCCGGUGGUUCUGAAUGGAAGGGCCAUCGCUCAACGGAUAAAAGGUACUCCGGGGAUAACAGGCUGAUACCGCCCAAGAGUUCAUAUCGACGGCGGUGUUUGGCACCUCGAUGUCGGCUCAUCACAUCCUGGGGCUGAAGUAGGUCCCAAGGGUAUGGCUGUUCGCCAUUUAAAGUGGUACGCGAGCUGGGUUUAGAACGUCGUGAGACAGUUCGGUCCCUAUCUGCCGUGGGCGCUGGAGAACUGAGGGGGGCUGCUCCUAGUACGAGAGGACCGGAGUGGACGCAUCACUGGUGUUCGGGUUGUCAUGCCAAUGGCACUGCCCGGUAGCUAAAUGCGGAAGAGAUAAGUGCUGAAAGCAUCUAAGCACGAAACUUGCCCCGAGAUGAGUUCUCCCUGACUCCUUGAGAGUCCUGAAGGAACGUUGAAGACGACGACGUUGAUAGGCCGGGUGUGUAAGCGCAGCGAUGCGUUGAGCUAACCGGUACUAAUGAACCGUGAGGCUUAACCUU
RNAcentral lists this ribosomal RNA (2903 nucleotides) under Escherichia coli. RNAcentral describes it as "23S ribosomal RNA". It matches the Rfam family "Bacterial large subunit ribosomal RNA". The record is from RNAcentral. Lineage: Bacteria; Pseudomonadati; Pseudomonadota; Gammaproteobacteria; Enterobacterales; Enterobacteriaceae.